RNAcentral lists this small nucleolar RNA (122 nucleotides) under Fukomys damarensis (Damara mole-rat). RNAcentral describes it as "Small nucleolar RNA U3". It matches the Rfam family "Small nucleolar RNA U3". Rfam says of the family: Small nucleolar RNAs (snoRNAs) are involved in the processing and modification of rRNA in the nucleolus. There are two main classes of snoRNAs: the box C/D class, and the box H/ACA class. Lineage: Eukaryota; Metazoa; Chordata; Mammalia; Rodentia; Bathyergidae. The record is from Rfam by way of RNAcentral.
AAGGCUAUACUUUUAGGGAUCAUUUCUAUAGUUGGUGACUAGAGAAGUUUCUCUGAUUGUGUAGAUUAGCCAAGCCAUUUGUCCUCUCUGAACUUCUGUUCCUUUUCUUAUAAAAUGAUGGU